Molecule: ribosomal RNA, 266 nt
Filed under: unidentified marine bacterioplankton
Lineage: Bacteria
Also listed under: 1 other name
Description: partial 16S ribosomal RNA
Rfam family: Bacterial small subunit ribosomal RNA
Source: RNAcentral
AGCACGGGAGCAAUCCUGGUGGCGAGUGGCGAACGGGUGAGUAAAGUAUCGGAACGUGCCCAGUCGUGGGGGAUAACGUAGCGAAAGCUACGCUAAUACCGCAUACGAUCUAUGGAUGAAAGCGGGGGAUCGCAAGACCUCGCGCGAUUGGAGCGGCCGAUAUCAGAUUAGGUAGUUGGUGGGGUAAAGGCCUACCAAGCCGACGAUCUGUAGCUGGUCUGAGAGGACGACCAGCCACACUGGGACUGAGACACGGCCCAGACUCC